Molecule: ribosomal RNA, 1040 nt
Filed under: human gut metagenome
Description: bacterial SSU rRNA
Rfam family: Bacterial small subunit ribosomal RNA
Source: RNAcentral
GCUCAGGACGAACGCUGGCGGCGUGCCUAAUACAUGCAAGUCGAACGAAGCUUUCUUUCACCGAAUGCUUGCAUUCACCGAAAGAAGCUUAGUGGCGAACGGGUGAGUAACACGUAGGCAACCUGCCCAAAAGAGGGGGAUAACACUUGGAAACAGGUGCUAAUACCGCAUAACCAUGAACACCGCAUGAUGUUCAUGUAAAAGACGGCUUUUGCUGUCACUUUUGGAUGGGCCUGCGGCGUAUUAACUUGUUGGUGGGGUAACGGCCUACCAAGGUGAUGAUACGUAGCCGAACUGAGAGGUUGAUCGGCCACAUUGGGACUGAGACACGGCCCAAACUCCUACGGGAGGCAGCAGUAGGGAAUCUUCCACAAUGGACGAAAGUCUGAUGGAGCAACGCCGCGUGAAUGAAGAAGGCCUUCGGGUCGUAAAAUUCUGUUGUCAGAGAAGAACGUGCGUGAGAGUAACUGUUCACGUAUUGACGGUAUCUGACCAGAAAGCCACGGCUAACUACGUGCCAGCAGCCGCGGUAAUACGUAGGUGGCGAGCGUUGUCCGGAUUUAUUGGGCGUAAAGGGAACGCAGGCGGUCUUUUAAGUCUGAUGUGAAAGCCUUCGGCUUAACCGAAGUAGUGCAUUGGAAACUGGAAGACUUGAGUGCAGAAGAGGAGAGUGGAACUCCAUGUGUAGCGGUGAAAUGCGUAGAUAUAUGGAAGAACACCAGUGGCGAAAGCGGCUCUCUGGUCUGUAACUGACGCUGAGGUUCGAAAGCGUGGGUAGCAAACAGGAUUAGAUACCCUGGUAGUCCACGCCGUAAACGAUGAGUGCUAAGUGUUGGAGGGUUUCCGCCCUUCAGUGCUGCAGCUAACGCAUUAAGCACUCCGCCUGGGGAGUACGGUCGCAAGACUGAAACUCAAAGGAAUUGACGGGGGCCCGCACAAGCGGUGGAGCAUGUGGUUUAAUUCGAAGCAACGCGAAGAACCUUACCAGGUCUUGACAUCUUCUGACAAUUCCAGAGAUGGAACGUUCCCUUCGGGGACAG